This 271-nucleotide long non-coding RNA is filed under the name Elaeis guineensis (African oil palm). RNAcentral describes it as "long non-coding RNA (EGUI_LNC037928)". Lineage: Eukaryota; Viridiplantae; Streptophyta; Magnoliopsida; Arecales; Arecaceae. The record is from RNAcentral.
CACAUUCCAAAUAGAGAAUGUAGUUAUUGCGCAUCGUGAAUAAUAAUAAUAAUAAUAAAAGAUUAGGCAAUCGCAGCCAUCUUUACUACCCUUAUGUGAGGUUUACAUGUCUAGUUGUAUAUAAAUUGAACUAUAUUAAAAGGACAAUAUGAUAUAAACUUGUGCAUUGCAGCCAUGAAUUACAUUAGAAUUUCAAGAAUGUUCCAACUUUUCAUGGAUGCAAUUAAAGGCAAUAAAACAAGUCAUUGAUUAAAAAGUUGAAUUUGAUACC